CAAGUAAGUAUUUUCAAGCUUGAUGGUAAGGUUUUGCAUAUUUUUUAGGCGUUCUUGCAUGCAAACUCCAUGUUUUCUUAGUCUUAUUGUCUAUUCAUAUUUAUUACCUGAUACCUCCAUUUCUGGGGUGCAUGAAAAAUGCCAUAUCAAUUAAUCUUUUAAACCAUGUUAUAUGUUUUAAACAAAAUGUAAGACACUUUUGGUAAACUAUGCUACCAAAUGAUAAUCUCGCCUUCCUAGAUUUCUUUUCUCCCUUUGGUCUUAUUUUUCCUUGUUCCAUUGCCACAUCCUAUACUUGCUCAAUCCUAUUUUUGCACAUCUAACUAUCAACUAUGGAUGUCUUUUUUGUUGGUGGUCAUGAUUUCUACUAACAAUGGUAAUUUUUUAAAUGUCUUCUGCUAACUACUUCAUACGUACUUACAUACAUAUCUGUAGAGAGAGAUUGAAAUCUGGUCGAUCAAAUUUGAAGUCGAAUUUGGUUAGGUAAAAUUGGAAGAUUGGGAUCCAACACCAAUGAUUCGAGUCGUUAAAUAUGAUCUACUACCUCUAACUACCUACAGAGAAAGAAUCAUGUGAAUUCAAUAUCCUUAGCCAUCAAAAAUGGGUGUUAAAUCAUAACUAUCUAUUUUUGACCGCUUGAUGCAUAAUCUAGAGAUCUUCAAAUCAUAUGAUUUUUUGUUUGUAAGCAGUUUAGUGGCGGUAUGAUAUAUUCAAUAGCUCGAAUCAUCGUUCGCCAAACUAACCCGAACCGAGCAAUUCGUCCCAUACCAAACAAAACUAACAUCAAAUCGAGACAGUUCGAUGGGUUGGUUCGGUUUAGAAACCCCCUCACCCUGCGUUCGAUUGAACCUUCAAGAGGGUGCUUACUCUCGCUUCUUGCUCGCUUGCUUGUUGCUCGUGCUCUCGUUUCUCUUCGACAUUGACCAAUGCCGACUGACAUGGAGGUAAGCCCCAUCUCUCUCUUCCACUCUCCUCCUCUCUCUCCCUCUCUCUCUUCUUCCUCUCCUUCUCCCUCUUUCCCCUCUAUAUGCCCCCUACCCCCGCCUCGUGCCCUUGCUCUCUCCCCCUACCUCCAUCCCUCCCUCUGUCUUUUCCUCUCCAUGAGCCUCCCUCCUUCUCUCACCUGCUCCCUCUCCCUCCCUCCCUCGCUCUCUUUUCCUCCCUCUCCUGCCUUGUCGCCCUCUCCAUGAGCCUCCCUCCCUCUCCCCGUCUCCCGCCUCUUAGUUCGGUAUGCCCUUGCUUGAUAUAAUACUUAUUGGCAUCGUACUGAAUCGGCCGCUACUUGAUGCGAGCUCCGCUAGCGGUUUGGCAGACCUUGCCUCAAAUCAUCAAUGUCAGACCCCAUCUUCCAAUUACAUCUAUUGGUGAGUGAUUAUUUACAUGAUACCUUUAUAUGUAAGUCUACUGUUGUAAAUAUUGAUCAGGUCAUAUGCAAAAAAUCCCAUUAUUCUACUUUAGCAACUCUUGUAGAUGUACAUGGGUUAAAUAGUCAUGUCUAACAACUUGGCUUGUGGAAAGACAAGGUAUUAUGGUGCUUCCUAAAAUGAAAUCUUUCUAAAAAUAUACUUUCUCGGAAUAGUUAAAUUCCUAUGUAAUUUUUUGUUGGGAAAUACCUCUACUUGUCUUAAGUCAGUCAAUGUUUUCGUACUUUACUAACAAUUUUGAUUGUGGAAGGACAAGAUAUUAAGGCGCUUCCUAAAACUCGCAAAAUUUUUUAAAAACACUCCCCUCAAAAGUCAAAAUAAUUAAAUCCUAUACGUAAUCAAGUAAUAACUUAUAAUUUUAUGUUGAGAAAUACUGUUAGUUUUCUUAAGACAAACAAUGCUUUUUGUACUUUGCUACUCUUUUUCAUUUUCGAUACUGAUCAAUUAAGGUAACAAAAGCUCUAUAGGAACUGUUGUUUAAACAGCCGAGGUUAUGGUUGAGGUAUCUAGCUAAAAUAGGACUUGUGAAAUUUGUGGAUCUCCACAGAUAUGCUCAUGCCUUGGACACCUUUGAUACCAAUCACCAACCUACAAUAUCUUUAAUCACAAGUUGCAACCUUCACGCAAUGUUUGUCCCUCUAUAAAGCUAGAAAGAGCAGCAAAAGAUGGCUCACAGUGUAAAACUAUGAAGUAAGCUGCCCCAACCCUUUUGAUGAUCAUUUUUAAUCUGUAGCCUGCAAUUAGUCCGAUUACAAAAUGGUCUUAUCAUGCAAGUGAAUUCCAAAAGGAUGUGACUUAAACUGAAACUAGACCAGUCCAAUCACCAAGAUGCCUAGCCUUUGAGUUAUUCACCAACAGGUUAUACUCCUCUAAUUCAAGGCAAUGAAGUGUACCUGCCCACUCCACCUGUCAUUUCACAUGAAUGGGUUGUACUCACCAAACUCAAAGUGGUGGAGUGUGAUUACUCACUUCAGAUGCCACACAAGAAGCAAGACAAGAUUGGGUGUGGUUUGGUGGAUUUUCAUGAGUAAUAUCCAACAGCUUAGGGUAGUAGGCAUAGCAAAUACCAAGUGGUGUCAAAAAGAAAAAAUCAUUUUGGGAACUGGUACAAGAUCAGCCCAUUAGCAAUAAGAAUUUCACAUUUCAAGCAACAUGUUGGGUUACAAAUUGGGUUCAGCUCUUGUUUGAGACAAUAGGCAUCAAAUCCCAAAUCAAGCUGACAUGGUUCUCAUCCAUGAAUUUCAUGGUCAUAAGCAUCGAAUUGGAUUAUAAGUCUCAAUAAUGAGGUCAAGCUCAAAUGGCUGCUUAAGCUUCAAGUAGGCCAAGGUUCCUGCCAUCGCCCAACAAGAGAUCCAAUGUCUCCAUUUCAAGGUCAGAAUAUUUUCAGAUUUCCAGCUUGUUCAUGUGCAGGGGUAGGCUUAUGAAACAAAGUGAUCCAAAUAAAAUAUGGUAUUCUUCUCUUAAAAUUUAAUACAAUUUUGACAGUGGUUAGCAGGAUUUCCCCUUGGGGUAAUCAAAAUUAGGUGCUAGGUUUUCCUUAAGAGAACUGAAGAUAAUAAAAACUGUGCUCUCAAGAUAUUCACAGGACAGAACAAAACUUUUCUCGAAAGAGUAACAAGAUGAAGAAGAAGGCAACAGAGUUUUAUGGUGAAGCCAGCCAUGGAGGUUAUCUUACUCUUGGUUUCAUCUUUUAGGAUUUAGAAAUUUCAGGUUAAAGAAAAAGGUUUCAGGGUUGGUGCUGGUUUUUGUUUUUGUUUUUCUUCUUCUCUCCAUUCUGCAUAGAAGGCAGGCAAAUGGGUCCUUCUAUAUGGCCCUAAAGUAGUUUUCCAUACCAUCAAGCUUUGGUUACAAAUGGCGUAGAAGCCAGACUGGUUUCUUGAACACUUGUCACAAGGUUGAGCUUCAUUCAGCCAGGCCCACAAGAUCAAAGACAGGCCUCAAUUCUACCAGAACCAUCCCCAACAGGGUCUGAACCAAACUGACCCAAAGCAUGCUCAAACCAAACCUGAAGAGGACCUAACUUGCACCAGAACUGAACCCAAAUUGCAGUCGGUUCCACAACAAGGAAUAGCCUAAGUAGGUCCACACGGGAUCAAGAAGAACAGACCUAAAAUUUCCAGCAAAAUCCCCAUGGGGACAAGAACCCUAGGACCUCUUAAAAAACAAGCCUAUACCAGUGGGGCACACAAUUUUCUAUGAAUAACCAUGCAACAUACAACUGAAGAACACUUUAUUUUCAAACAUCACUGACUAAAAUAUUUUAGAAACCAGCAUGUCUACCUUAUCCCAACGGUGCAUGUUAGUUGAAGAGGAAGUGUUUGAAUGUAAUGGUGAUUUACUUGAAAAGAGAGUGGUUGGUGGUGCUUGUUAGCCCAAUACACACCUAGUUUACAAACUGUACAGCAUAUUCAAUUACAAUACGCCAUCUGCCUUUGUAUCUCAUGUGCAAGAUAUCAAGUGGUUUUAUACACAAUAUCAAACAACCUUAUAUGCAAGCAUAUUUUAACACUCCCUCAAACACAUGGUGCAGUAUGGGUCAUAAGUUUGUUCAUCAGAUAUUUAAAGUCAUGAUGCUAGGGUUGUCUUGAAGUGCACUAGUUACUUAAUGGAUAGCAUAUUGGGGAGUGACCUGCUGUGAAGUUAGAAGUAACUAUAUGGUGAUUGAUAUUGAUGUGUUCUGUGUAGUUUUUUUUUCCCCCAAAGUACUCUAGACCACCAUAACAACUUGAUUUUUAUGUAUGAUAGAGUACAGACACCAAAAGCAAUGCCCUAAGGUUAGACACGAGGUAAUAAAGUCAAGCUAUCUUUAACACAAAACAGGUAUUAAUCAAAACUCGGUCUUGGACUUGGAAAGAGGUGCAAUAUCUUGCCUUUUCAAUUCGAGGAGAUAAGGGUGCCCCCAAGCAAGACACAUGAGCUUGUAAAACAUAAGUAGCAUAGUCAGUGUGAGCAGACGAAAUGUAAAAAGGG
Molecule: long non-coding RNA, 4394 nt
Filed under: Phoenix dactylifera (date palm)
Lineage: Eukaryota; Viridiplantae; Streptophyta; Magnoliopsida; Arecales; Arecaceae
Description: long non-coding RNA (PDAC_LNC000975)
Source: RNAcentral